This is a long non-coding RNA of Oncorhynchus nerka (sockeye salmon), 3879 nucleotides long. RefSeq lists it as uncharacterized. Lineage: Eukaryota; Metazoa; Chordata; Actinopteri; Salmoniformes; Salmonidae. The transcript is spliced from 2 exons. The record is from RefSeq and is a predicted model, not a curated record.
ACACACACACACACACACACACACACACACACACACACCACCCCUAACAAACACUGUGAAACACCAGGCAGCUCACUUUACUGAUUGGGAAACACAAAAAGGAAGGUAAAGAGAGAGGCACAUUUGAAUCUUAAAUUCUCUGCAUAACUAACAAUGUGAACAGUGCAGCAACGAUUUGAUAUCAAUUGCAUGUGUCUUGAACAUUAAGACAGGACAUAACAUAAUAUUUUCCUUUGACCUGUUAGACCCAUUUUGGACCAAAAUUCUCAUAAGGCCUAAGCAUAUUAUUCUAGCUUUACCACCCAAAUAGAAGUCAGACAAAAAUAUUAGGUCCUCUUAUUAAAUAGGUAGGCAGUGAGACAUGUUUUUCCAUUCGAGGGUGAGACCCGCUCUAAAAUGCCUCCAGCUGUUCUGUAUCUGGUGCUCCGUUGGCCCGCCAGAAAUGUAAGUCAAGCUUGGCGGGCAAUGUGAUGAUUGAUCCUCCCCUGACUGCUCAGGGGCAACCGGAUUGGGCACAGUUUUUUUUAAACGUGAGUUAAGUAAGUUUGACAGUUGGGUAUUUUUGUUUAACUCACAGACAGCACUCACAAGCAGCACACACACACAUCCCACCCGUAACGAACACUGUGGAAUGCCGGGCAGCUCACUUGACUAAUUAGGAAAUAAAACAGGAGGAUAAAGAGUCACAUUUACAUCUCAACUGCUGCAUAACUAACACAGACUUUGCUGUAAUUAAUAUACAUGGAUAAUCUAAACAGCUUUUCAAGUAUAAAACAAUUGAUUACUUAGAACAUGAUGGUUAGAAAAGUUGUGCUAGAGUGGUAUGUGUGUGCUAGAGUGGUAUGUGUGUGCUAGAGUGGUAUGUGUGUGUUAGAGUGGUAUGUUUGUGCUAGAGUGGUAUGUGUGUGCUAGAGUGGUAUGUGUGUGCUAGAGUGUAUGUGUGUGUUAGAGUGGUAUGUGUGUGCUAGAGUGGUAUGUGUGUGCUAGAGUGGUAUGUGUGUGUUAGAGUGGUAUGUGUGUGUGUGUGUGUGAAAAGUUGUGCUAGAGUGGUAUGUGUGUGUAUGUGUGAAAAGUUGUGCUAGAGUGGUAUGUGUGUGCUAGAGUGGUAUGUGUGUGUGUAUGUGUGAAAAGUUGUGCUAGAGUGGUAUGUGUGUGCUAGAGUGGUAUGUGUGUGUGUGUGUGUGUGUGUGAAAAGUUGUGCUAGAGUGGUGUGUGUGAAAAGUUGUGCUAGAAUGGUAUGUGUGUGCAUGUGUGAAAAGUUGUGCUAGAGUGGUAUGUGUGUGCAUGUGUGCGCGUGUGUGUGUUGACGUGCGUGCGCGCAGGUGUUCCAACCUUGUUCUCUUUCUCCCCUAUUGUGGGUGAUCCCCAGAGGAAAUUACUUUGGUGGGAACAAAAGCUCCCCUCUGACUGACAAAACAAAACAACUCUAUGGAAACAGCCGAUACCAGUGAGCUUUAAAGACCUGCACACACACACACACACACACACACACACACACACACACACACACACACACACACACACAAACACUGGGUGGUGGAGCCAGUUGGACAGCGUAAAGCACUCUAGGCUUACAUUAUUGAUAACCUCUCUCUUUCUCUCAUUCCCCCCCUUCUCUUUUACGUUCGCUCUCUCUUUCUCUCUCCCUCACUCUCCUGGUGGGCAAAACUGGUAAAAACUGGUUAAAAAUUACACAAUUAUGUCAUUUCAACCGGUUUCAUGUUGCAAUUACGUAAUUUCAACCAAUGUUUCCCGCUUGUCUCUUUCUCUCUCUUUCUCAUUGGCAGUAUUGUCUGCACUGCAGGCCGCUCUCUUGUGACUAGUCUCAGACCCUCAACGUAACAUUAUCUUCAUUAGAGACCCUUCUUUGGUCCUUUUGUUUAAAAAGUCUGCAUGAUAAUACAUAAUAAUAUGUGUACAGUAUAAUACAAGAGGAUGAGGGCUGGGGAGUAACUGAUUACAUGUAAUCAGCUAUAUGUAAUCAGCUACAUGUAAUCAGCUAUAUGUAAUCAGCUACAUGUAAUCAGCUAUAUGUAAUCAGCUAUAUGUAAUCAGCUAUAUGUAAUAAGCACAUGUAAUCAGCUACAUGUAAUCAGCUAUAUGUAAUCAGCUAUAUGUAAUCAGCUACAUGUAAUCAGCUAUAUGUAAUCAGCUAUAUGUAAUAAGCACAUGUAAUCAGCUACAUGUAAUCAGCUAUAUGUAAUCAGCUAUAUGUAAUAAGCACAUGUAAUCAGCUAUAUGUAAUCAGCUAUAUGUAAUAAGCACAUGUAAUCAGCUAUAUGUAAUCAGCUACAUGUAAUCAGCUACAUAUAAUAAGCACAUGUAAUCAGCUACAUGUAAUCAGUUACAUGUAAUCGGCUAUAUGUAAUAAGCACAUGUAAUCAGCUACAUGUAAUCAGCUACAUGUAAUGAGUUACAUGUAAUCAGCUAUAUGUAAUAAGCCCAUGUAAUCAGCUAUAUGUAAUAAGCAUAUGUCAUCAGCUACAUGUAAUCAGCUAUAUGUAAUCAGCACAUGUAAUCAGCUAUAUGUAAUCAGCUAUAUGUAAUCAGUUCCAUGUAAUCAGCUACAUGUAAUCAGCUACAUGUAACUAACUGUAAUAUAUUACCUUACCAGCAAAAUAUUCUAAUCAGAUUAGAGAUACUUUUGAGAAAGUAGAUGAUUACUUCUAGGAUUACUUUUAAAUUCAGAAUGGAUGUUUGCAAAUUUGUUUUUUCUUGAAAAAAGGUGCAAGUUUAAGUUUGUUCCACCUGAGCAAGCCCUAACACAUACCUAAUGUCUUCGUCUAAUGCCUUUUAUGAGGGAAGUAAUCCAAAAGUAACUGAAAGUGAUCAGAUCAUUACGUUACUGAGUUUGGGGAAUCCAAAAGUUACAUUACCGAUGACAAUUUUGGACAGGUGACGGAUUACAUUCAGAAAGUAACAUACCCAUCCCUGAAGAGGAUGACUAUACAUGAAUGUGGUCAACUUCGAAACAUAAAAAAUCUGGAUAAAUUAAUAGACAUUUACAGGGAAGUUACUGCUAAAUUACUUAUCUUCAGGUUGGCGUGGGUGUGUGUAUGUGUGUGCGUGCGUGUGUGAUAAUCUGAAUGUACUGUCUUUCAGCAACUCUUGUACCAGGUUGUCAACCCUACCCUUAUUAGAUGAGUUGACAACCACCUACCCUUAUCAGUUGAGUUGACAACAACCCUACCCAUAUCAGAUGAGUUGACAACAACCCUACCCUUAUCAGAUGAGUUGACAACCACCUACCCUUAUCAGUUGAGUUGACAACAACCCUACCCAUAUCAGAUGAGUUGACAACAACCCUACCCAUAUCAGAUGAGUUGACAACAACCCUACCCAUAUCAGAUGAGUUGACAACAACCCUACCCAUAUCAGAUGAGUUGACAACAACCCUACCCAUAUCAGAUGAGUUGAUAACAACCCUACCCAUAUCAGAUGAGUUGAUAACAACUCUACCCAUAUCAGAUGAGUUGAUAACAACCCUACCCAUAUCAGAUGAGUUGACAACAACCCUACCCAUAUCAGAUGAGUUGACAACAACCCUACCCAUAUCAGAUGAGUUGACAACAACCCUACCCAUAUCAGAUGAGUUCAAAUCAAAUGUUAUUUGUCACAUGCAGAUGUUAAUGCGAGUGUAGCGAAAUGCUUGUGCUUUGUAGUUCCGGCCGUGCAGUAACAUCUAACAAUUUCACAACAACUACCUUAUACACACACGUGUAAAGGAAUGAAUAACAAUAUGUACAUAAAGAUAUAUGAAUGAGCGAUGGCCGAACGGCAUAGGCAAGAUGCAGUAGAUGGUAUAGACAUAUGAGAUGAGUAAUGUAGGGUAUGUAAACAUUAUAUAAAGUGGCAUUGUUUAAAGUGGCUAGUGAUACA